AUCUGGGUGGCUCAGUUGGUAGAGUAUCUGACUCUCGAUCUCAGGGUUGUGAGUUCAAGCCCCACAUUGGAUG
This 73-nucleotide transfer RNA is filed under the name Felis catus (domestic cat). It matches the Rfam family "tRNA". Rfam says of the family: Transfer RNA (tRNA) molecules are approximately 80 nucleotides in length. Their secondary structure includes four short double-helical elements and three loops (D, anti-codon, and T loops). RNAcentral also lists the same sequence under 5 other names. The record is from Rfam by way of RNAcentral. Lineage: Eukaryota; Metazoa; Chordata; Mammalia; Carnivora; Felidae.